GUAGGGUUGUCACACACUAAGAUUUUGGCUGGCUGGAUAUGGAGAUUUAUUUGGAUAAUUUGUAUUAUUGUUGUUGCUUAUUUAAAAUUUGAUUGUUCUUUGACUUUUUUUUGAGCAGUUAUACCAACACCUUGAGGCAGCAUUAGUCUGCUAUUAACUCUCCCACUCUCAUUUUGUUUGUGCAGACCUUUGUUUAGUCAUGUCGACAAGAUAAUUGAUGAAAAUUCAAACAAGCUGCAAGUGAGGUGGACCGGUGUAAUCUUUAUAAUAUCAAGAAGCGCCAGACCAGCUCUGAUCCUGAGAUACCGCCUCGUUUACGACCAGUGGAAAUCGAAUUCCAGGCUGCUAUUGAGGCAGAGAGAGCGAAGACCCAUGCUGCUUUUGAGGAGAAGGACCGGCAGUUGGCGGAGAGGGACCGACAGGCGGCGGAGAGGGACAGGGAGAAUGAGGAGAGGACGGCUAGGCUGUUGGAGGAGAAGAGGAACCGGAACGACUCGGGUAACCGGGCCAUGUACGAUCUCUUCGUGUCCAUGUGCGAGAAGAACGGCCAGACCCCUUCGCCGAUGC
Molecule: long non-coding RNA, 567 nt
Organism: Triticum dicoccoides
Lineage: Eukaryota; Viridiplantae; Streptophyta; Magnoliopsida; Poales; Poaceae
Exons: 4
Source: RefSeq, a predicted model, not a curated record